GAAGGUUCUUGUAGUUGAAUA
RNAcentral lists this transfer RNA (21 nucleotides) under Ameca splendens. RNAcentral describes it as "partial tRNA-Glu". RNAcentral also lists the same sequence under 2 other names. The record is from RNAcentral. Lineage: Eukaryota; Metazoa; Chordata; Actinopteri; Cyprinodontiformes; Goodeidae.